Non-coding RNA from Zootoca vivipara (common lizard), 189 nucleotides. The record is from RefSeq and is a predicted model, not a curated record. NCBI's taxonomy places the organism in Eukaryota, Metazoa, Chordata, Lepidosauria, Squamata, Lacertidae.
ACCAUCCCAUAAUGCACAUCGAAAGCAUCAUACAUACAUCACUUGUGACAGGGUAAAACAUCAGAAAAGGGGAAGGUGCAAGGGGCAUUAGCAUACAGGUAAACAGGAGGUAAGCAGGAUUAGCAUAAGGUAACAAUGCACGAUGUCCCAGGACAUUGUUAAGCAAGUACCAGUAAGUAUCUGGGAGGG